RNAcentral lists this non-coding RNA (24 nucleotides) under Arabidopsis thaliana (thale cress). The record is from RNAcentral. Lineage: Eukaryota; Viridiplantae; Streptophyta; Magnoliopsida; Brassicales; Brassicaceae.
ACGGUUGGUUAGUAUUUUCGCUCA